RNAcentral lists this ribosomal RNA (253 nucleotides) under uncultured bacterium. RNAcentral describes it as "partial 16S ribosomal RNA". It matches the Rfam family "Bacterial small subunit ribosomal RNA", at positions 524 to 776 of the family's 1533-position model. The record is from RNAcentral.
UACGGGGGGGGCGAGCGUUGUUCGGAAUUACUGGGCGUAAAGGGCUCGUAGGCGGCCAACUAAGUCAGACGUGAAAUCCCUCGGCUUAACCGGGGAACUGCGUCUGAUACUGGAUGGCUUGAGUUCGGGAGAGGGAUGCGGAAUUCCAGGUGUAGCGGUGAAAUGCGUAGAUAUCUGGAGGAACACCGGUGGCGAAGGCGGCAUCCUGGACCGAUACUGACGCUGAGGAGCGAAAGCCAGGGGAGCAAACGGG